Molecule: ribosomal RNA, 731 nt
Filed under: Sarcocystis suihominis
Lineage: Eukaryota; Apicomplexa; Conoidasida; Eucoccidiorida; Sarcocystidae
Description: SSU rRNA
Rfam family: Eukaryotic small subunit ribosomal RNA
Source: RNAcentral
AAAUAAGGUGAUUCAUAGUAACCGAACGGAUCGCAUUAUAAUUAUCAUUAUUUGAUGAUUGGCGAUAGAUCAUUCAAGUUUCUGACCUAUCAGCUUUCGACGGUAGUGUAUUGGACUACCGUGGCAGUGACGGGUAACGGGGAAUUAGGGUUCGAUUCCGGAGAGGGAGCCUGAGAAACGGCUACCACAUCUAAGGAAGGCAGCAGGCGCGCAAAUUACCCAAUCCUGACUCAGGGAGGUAGUGACAAGAAAUAACAACACUGGAAAUUUGAUUUCUAGUGAUUGGAAUGAUGGGAAUCCAAACCCCUUUCAGAGUAACAAUUGGAGGGCAAGUCUGGUGCCAGCAGCCGCGGUAAUUCCAGCUCCAAUAGCGUAUAUUAAAGUUGUUGCAGUUAAAAAGCUCGUAGUUGGAUGUCUGUUGGAAGCAAUCAUCAGUCCGCCCUAUUUGAUUAGGGUGUGAAUAUGAUGAAUUCCGGCAUAAUUGUCUCCCUAUUAUCAAUAUAUAAGAUGAUCAUUAUUAGAUUCAUUUCUAAUAAUGCGUCUACUAUAUUAUUGGUAGUAUGGGAGAAAUGUUACUUUGAGAAAAUUAGAGUGUUUGAAGCAGGCUUUUGUUGCCUUGAAUACUGCAGCAUGGAAUAACAAUAUAGGAUUUCGGUUCUAUUUUGUUGGUUUUUUUUAGGACUGAAAUAAUGAUUAAUAGGGACAGUUGGGGGCAUUCGUAUUUAACUGUC